Molecule: transfer RNA, 69 nt
Filed under: Culex quinquefasciatus (southern house mosquito)
Lineage: Eukaryota; Metazoa; Arthropoda; Insecta; Diptera; Culicidae
Description: tRNA-Val
Source: RNAcentral
GCCUCGGUGGAGUCGGUGGUAGGCAGUUGGACUCACAAUCCAAAGGUCGUCAGUUCGAAUCCCGGGAUG